CCUAUGAAUAGUUUAAAUGGCCGCAGUAAUUUGACUGUGCAAAGGUAGCAUAAUCACUUGUCUCUUAAUUGGGGGCUGGAAUGAAGGAGGCGACGAAAUUUAGGCUAUUUAACUUUAAAACAAAAUUAACAUAAAGGUCAAAAGGCCUUUAUACACCAAAGGGACGAUAAGACCCUAUAAAACUUUACUAUCUAAUAAGGUUAUUUAGGCUAAACCUAAAUUAUAGUUUAACUGGGGCGGUUUACAUAAAAACAAUAAGAAUGAAAAUAUUUUAAAUAAAUUUAGAGAGCUCUAAUAGGAAAUGAACAAGUUACUUUAGGGAUAACAGCAUAAUUUUCCCAGAGAGUCCUAAUUGGCGGGAGAGCUUAUGACCUCGAUGUUGAAUUGGGAUAUCUAAUAUGAGUAGAAAUAUAUUAAGAUAGUCUGUUCGACUAUUAAAUUCCC
RNAcentral lists this ribosomal RNA (444 nucleotides) under Proasellus bellesi. RNAcentral's name for it is "partial 16S ribosomal RNA". It matches the Rfam family "Bacterial large subunit ribosomal RNA", at positions 1863 to 2597 of the family's 2925-position model. The record is from RNAcentral. Lineage: Eukaryota; Metazoa; Arthropoda; Malacostraca; Isopoda; Asellidae.